This 434-nucleotide ribosomal RNA is filed under the name uncultured bacterium. RNAcentral describes it as "partial 16S ribosomal RNA". It matches the Rfam family "Bacterial small subunit ribosomal RNA", at positions 29 to 506 of the family's 1533-position model. The record is from RNAcentral.
AGCGAACGCUGGCGGCAGGCUUAACACAUGCAAGUCGAACGGGCAUCUUCGGAUGUCAGUGGCAGACGGGUGAGUAACACGUGGGAACGUACCCUUCGGUUCGGAAUAACUCAGGGAAACUUGAGCUAAUACCGGAUACGCCCUUUUGGGGAAAGGUUUACUGCCGAAGGAUCGGCCCGCGUCUGAUUAGCUUGUUGGUGGGGUAACGGCCUACCAAGGCGACGAUCAGUAGCUGGUCUGAGAGGAUGAUCAGCCACACUGGGACUGAGACACGGCCCAGACUCCUACGGGAGGCAGCAGUGGGGAAUAUUGGACAAUGGGCGCAAGCCUGAUCCAGCCAUGCCGCGUGAGUGAUGAAGGCCUUAGGGUUGUAAAGCUCUUUUGUCCGGGACGAUAAGGACGGUACCGGAAGAAUAAGCCCCGGCUAACUUCGU